AGGAAUUUUGCGCAAUGGGGGCAACCCUGACGCAGCAACGCCGCGUGAGUGAAGAAGGCCUUUGGGUCGUAAAGCUCUGUCAACCGGGAAGAAGUUAUGCAGAAUGAAUAGUGAUGCAUAUUGACGGUACCGGUGGAGGAAGCGCCGGCUAACUCCGUGCCAGCAGCCGCGGUAACACGGGGGGCGCAAGCGUUAUUCGGAAUUAUUGGGCGUAAAGGGCGCGUAGGCGGUUCUGUCGGUCAGAUGUGAAAGCCCGGGGCUCAACCCUGGAAGUGCAUUUGAAACAGCAGAACUUGAGUACGGGAGAGGAAAGCGGAAUUCCUGGUGUAGAGGUGAAAUUCGUAGAUAUCAGGAGGAACACCGAUGGCGAAGGCAGCUUUCUGGACCGAUACUGACGCUGAGGCGCGAAGGCGUGGGUAGCGAACGGGAUUAGAUACCCCGGUAGUCCACGCAGUAAACGAUGUUCACUAGGUGUAGCGGAUAUUAAAAUUUGCUGUGCCGCAGUCAACGCAUUAAGUGAACCGCCUGGGAAGUACGGUCGCAAGACUA
This 549-nucleotide ribosomal RNA is filed under the name bacterium Oil-M2-5. RNAcentral describes it as "bacterial SSU rRNA". It matches the Rfam family "Bacterial small subunit ribosomal RNA", at positions 357 to 896 of the family's 1533-position model. The record is from RNAcentral.